CGAGUGGCGAACGGGUGAGUAAUAUAUCGGAACGUACCCUGGAGUGGGGGAUAACGUAGCGAAAGUUACGCUAAUACCGCAUACGAUCUAAGGAUGAAAGUGGGGGAUCGCAAGACCUCAUGCUCGUGGAGCGGCCGAUAUCUGAUUAGCUAGUUGGUAGGGUAAAAGCCUACCAAGGCAUCGAUCAGUAGCUGGUCUGAGAGGACGACCAGCCACACUGGAACUGAGACACGGUCCAGACUCCUACGGGAGGCAGCAGUGGGGAAUUUUGGACAAUGGGCGAAAGCCUGAUCCAGCAAUGCCGCGUGAGUGAAGAAGGCCUUCGGGUUGUAAAGCUCUUUUGUCAGGGAAGAAACGGUGAAGGCUAAUAUCCUUUGCUAAUGACGGUACCUGAAGAAUAAGCACCGGCUAACUACGUGCCAGCAGCCGCGGUAAUACGUAGGGUGCAAGCGUUAAUCGGAAUUACUGGGCGUAAAGCGUGCGCAGGCGGUUUUGUAAGUCUGAUGUGAAAUCCCCGGGCUCAACCUGGGAAUUGCAUUGGAGACUGCAAGGCUAGAAUCUGGCAGAGGGGGGUAGAAUUCCACGUGUAGCA
RNAcentral lists this ribosomal RNA (592 nucleotides) under uncultured bacterium. RNAcentral describes it as "bacterial SSU rRNA". It matches the Rfam family "Bacterial small subunit ribosomal RNA", at positions 92 to 680 of the family's 1533-position model. The record is from RNAcentral.